This 108-nucleotide microRNA precursor is filed under the name Chlorocebus sabaeus (green monkey). Its description in RNAcentral is "miRNA (ENSCSAG00000026405.1)". Lineage: Eukaryota; Metazoa; Chordata; Mammalia; Primates; Cercopithecidae. The record is from RNAcentral.
UGAGGCAGGAGAAUAGCUUGAACCUGGAGGGGGAGGUUGAAGUGAGCUGAGAUUGCGCCACUACACUUCAGCCUGGGUGACAGAGACUCCGUCUCAAAACAAACACAA